RNAcentral lists this transfer RNA (64 nucleotides) under Dipodomys ordii (Ord's kangaroo rat). It matches the Rfam family "tRNA". From Rfam's summary of the family: Transfer RNA (tRNA) molecules are approximately 80 nucleotides in length. Their secondary structure includes four short double-helical elements and three loops (D, anti-codon, and T loops). Lineage: Eukaryota; Metazoa; Chordata; Mammalia; Rodentia; Heteromyidae. The record is from Rfam by way of RNAcentral.
GGUGGCUCAAUGGUAGAGUACUUGCCUCGGAUGCAUGAAGUCCUGGGUUCGAUUCUCAGCACCA